UUAAGUUCAGCGGGUAUCCCUACCUGAUCCGAGGUCAACCUGGUGUGUGAGGGGCUUGCUGGCCGGCCGCCGCCCGAGCCCGACAAGCGACGAGUAGUACUACGCUUGAGACCGGACGGGGCCGCCACUGCUUUUGAGGCGGGCCAUGGAUGGCGGGCCCAAGACCAAGCCGGGGCUUGAGGGUUGUAAUGACGCUCGAA
RNAcentral lists this unclassified non-coding RNA (200 nucleotides) under Rhytisma sp. (in: ascomycete fungi). Its description in RNAcentral is "Rhytisma sp. (in: Fungi) partial internal transcribed spacer 2". Lineage: Eukaryota; Fungi; Ascomycota; Leotiomycetes; Rhytismatales; Rhytismataceae. The record is from RNAcentral.